UACCUCUGGUGGUUCACCUCUUCCUGGGGAAACUGUCAUUUCUGGACACUUUGUUGAGCACUAGAGGCAUUUUAGGAACAACAGAAGGCCAACACAGAAAUUCACAAUGUAAAGCUCUGAUCCUCAAGGUUUGUUUCUCUUUGACUCUGCAGAAGUCCACGGAAGUCAGAGUGUGCUGGAGUCAACAAGGAGAAUUGGGGCCUGAUUGCAGAAAGUGUGCAAAACAUGGGAGGAACAUGAAAGAGGCUGUUUUGCCAGGAACAUUAAGCCAUUACUCUAUAUUGCUACAUGCACUCUGGGCAAACCCUUCACUGCUCUCCCGCCUUUCAUUUUGAUCAGUGCAAAUAGUCUGCUUUUAGGGGUGUCCUACUGCACUGCUUCACCCCAGAAGAGUGUCAUCUCCUUUCCCCUCUGCCCACAGCAAGUGAGAAGCUGGUCAAAGAACUGCAUUUCUCAUGCUCCCCCUGUGGCUGGCCCUGGAUUGCUGCAGCUCCUGCAGCAUUGCUUGCUCGUGACUGUUCCCAUGCAGGAGGUUCAGCACGCCAGCACCCUUCUCUAUGACCAGUAAUAGCAUUUCCUGAUCUUGGUUCACAUUUCCAUUCUCCGAGUUUACAAAGCAUAACACAAAGUUAAACAUCAAUUUGCCUUCACCUUCCAGCCCCUAUAAUGCGCUGCUGUGCUCUGAGUCCUGCCUCGGUAACAACGACUCUAUUACAAGAAGAAUAUCAAUAUUAAAGUAAUUUUCUCAACACAUUUCCUUUUGUGCAUGUGUGGUGUGAAGGAGAAGCAGGAAGUAAUACCUG
Molecule: long non-coding RNA, 803 nt
Filed under: Anas platyrhynchos platyrhynchos (common mallard)
Lineage: Eukaryota; Metazoa; Chordata; Aves; Anseriformes; Anatidae
Description: lncRNA (ENSAPLG00000022967.1)
Source: RNAcentral